AUUGAACGCUGGCGGCAGGCCUAACACAUGCAAGUCGAACGGUAACAGGAAGAAGCUUGCUUCUUUGCUGACGAGUGGCGGACGGGUGAGUAAUGUCUGGGAAACUGCCUGAUGGAGGGGGAUACCUACUGGAAACGGUAGCUAAUACCGCAUAACGUCGCAAGCCCAAAGAGGGGGACCUUCGGGCCUCUUGCCAUCGGAUGUGCCCAGAUGGGAUUAGCUAGUAGGGGGGGUAACGGCUCACCUAGGCGACGAUCCCUAGCUGGUCUGAGAGGAUGACCAGCCACACUGGAACUGAGACACGGUCCAGACUCCUACGGGAGGCAGCAGUGGGGAAUAUUGCACAAUGGGCGCAAGCCUGAUGCAGCCAUGCCGCGUGUAUGAAGAAGGCCUUCGGGUUGUAAAGUACUUUCAGCGGGGAGGAAGGGAGUAAAGUUAAUACCUUUGCUCAUUGACGUUACCCGCAGAAGAAGCACCGGCUAACUCCGUG
RNAcentral lists this ribosomal RNA (490 nucleotides) under uncultured bacterium. RNAcentral's name for it is "partial 16S ribosomal RNA". It matches the Rfam family "Bacterial small subunit ribosomal RNA", at positions 30 to 507 of the family's 1533-position model. The record is from RNAcentral.